RNAcentral lists this ribosomal RNA (505 nucleotides) under uncultured bacterium. RNAcentral describes it as "partial 16S ribosomal RNA". It matches the Rfam family "Bacterial small subunit ribosomal RNA", at positions 28 to 507 of the family's 1533-position model. The record is from RNAcentral.
GACGAACGCUGGCGGCGUGCCUAAUGCAUACGAGUAGAACGCACAGUUUAUACCGUAGCUUGCUACACCAUAGACUGUGAGUUGCGAACGGGUGAGUAACGCGUAGGUAACCUGCCUGGUAGCGGGGGAUAACUAUUGGAAACGAUAGCUAAUACCGCAUAAUAUUGAUUAUUGCAUGAUAAUUGAUUGAAAGAUGCUAUUGCAUCACUACCAGAUGGACCUGCGUUGUAUUAGCUAGUAGGUGAGGUAACGGCUCACCUAGGCGACGAUACAUAGCCGACCUGAGAGGGUGAUCGGCCACACUGGGACUGAGACACGGCCCAGACUCCUACGGGAGGCAGCAGUAGGGAAUCUUCGGCAAUGGACGAAAGUCUGACCGAGCAACGCCGCGUGAGUGAAGAAGGUUUUCGGAUCGUAAAGCUCUGUUGUAAGAGAAGAACGGGUGUGAGAGUGGAAAGUUCACACUGUGACGGUAUCUUACCAGAAAGGGACGGCUAACUACGUG